UUUCUCAGUAGUGCGAGACGAUUUCAAAGAUUUAAUAUUCAAAUUCACUAAUCUCAACGUGAAAAUAGAAAAAAUAUCACAAACAUUACGUGGCUAUACAUUGUUAAAUAACACAAAACGACAAUCCUAUUAAGUCACAUAAUACACAUAAAUAUUUAAAUAAAAGUGUUUUGUGGAUAUUUUCUGAGAAAGGUUAAAGUAGUAAUCGCUGUUAGAUUCCGAUUAAGUGAAGAUCCUCAUCGAGCCAUCAAUACCAAUUCCAUGUAAGGAAAUGUCGCAAAAGAGACCGUCAAGAAAACCCUGUCGGGCGAUGCGGGGCGCGUACACUCAACGGAAUCAAGAAACCCUUUCGAUUAGCACACUCUCUCCUGGUCGUCGGUGCUAUCCUCUCGCACGCCCAACGCACCCUUUCGCAAAGGACACGCAAAUGCGACUGGGUCCGGCUUCGGAAGUUAGUGAAGUUUCAUGUCCUAUUAUAACAGGGGCGUAAAUUAAUCAGACAAGAAUAUCCACUUCGGCACAUCCGCCUACGUUAAUUCUUAAACUAUUUGCCAGAAGAGUUUUAAAUCUUAAGAUGGAAGGUAAAAAGGCGAUUAGUGGAGACAGUGUGCGUUUAAUCCUCAUUAUUAAUACCGACCGGCCAUUAAUAAUCAAAUUAAUUAGCCAUUCUUGACCAUAACUAGUGUUGGGCAAGCGUCCGAGCCAAACUUCUUGCCGGAACAUUAAUAAUUUCAGAUUAAUUAUUAAUUUCGUGGCCGUAGAGAUCCAUGGAGGGUAUGCGCAAGCUGUGUGUUCGAAUUUGAAAACUUGAAUUAUUCAAAAUCAAGUGAAGCAUAUUAUAUCUAUGACGAAACAGGAAACAGUGGUUGUGACCUAAACUAUAACUGCUCCCCUUUUGCUGUGCAGAUGGGCUAACGACCAAUGUGGUCAUACCCAACUCUAGAGCUUAUGACCUGCAGUCGCGACAUCGGGCUUGUUAUAAUUCUGCAUGUGCAGUGAUUAUGUGCGGCCGCUUAUUUCGUGAUUAAAACAACAAACUUUGGCGAUAAGUUAAGCGACAUCUGCGUCUGUCCGGUUAGUGGUCGACGACGGUCCAGCACACACCAGCCGUGUGCGCGAAUCUCUCUUGUCGCAUUACUCGUAAAGCGGAGAAGUUGCGGUCGUCCGCUCUACCACCCCCACAUAGUACUUGUCAGCAACAUGCCUGUGCAUUCACACAAAACGUAGUUAAUAUAACUUUUCUUUCCCCA
Dalotia coriaria is the source of this 1250-nucleotide long non-coding RNA. RefSeq lists it as uncharacterized. The record is from RefSeq and is a predicted model, not a curated record. The transcript is spliced from 2 exons. NCBI's taxonomy places the organism in Eukaryota, Metazoa, Arthropoda, Insecta, Coleoptera, Staphylinidae.